UCCUCCCUCGCUUUUGGAGCUCCGACCUCAGCUUCGCCUGCGAGCUGGGUUGUGUAAAGGCUGGUCAUUUUGGGGCGCUUAGGGGUGGGUGCCGGGGGGCGCGCUUUCCCUCGUGAAGGUCGCUCCAGGAGUCAUGCGUACAUUCGUUCAUUUUGCUCUGGACGCACUGAUGUUCCCGGCUCGCCGCCGUGCCGCAGUCACGAGGCUCUCCGAACGCCUUUCACUGUGUUUCUGUUUACAUUCGCGUCUGCAAGACCCGGCGGCGCGACCGAGGCCCGAACAGAUGGAGAUGGGCUGCCAUGUUGUGAGCUGCCCCAUGGGGAAGAGGCUCACAUGUGAGGAACUGAGGGAGGCCUCCAGAAAACAGCCAGUGAAGAACUGAGACCCUCAGUCCAAUAGCCUAUGAGGAACUGAAUCCUGCUGACAACCAUAUGAAUGAGCUUGGAAGCAGAUCCUUCCCCAGUGAAGCCUUCAUGUGAGACUGCAGCCCACUUGACACUUUGAUUUGUAGCUUGUGACAGACCCCAAGCCAGAAGAGUCAGGUAAGCAGUGCCUGCACUCCUGACCCAUGGCAACUGGCAUGAUAAAUGUUUUUUCCCAUGAA
Molecule: long non-coding RNA, 604 nt
Filed under: Homo sapiens (human)
Lineage: Eukaryota; Metazoa; Chordata; Mammalia; Primates; Hominidae
Description: HSALNT0303043
Source: RNAcentral